Molecule: long non-coding RNA, 608 nt
Organism: Oncorhynchus gorbuscha (pink salmon)
Lineage: Eukaryota; Metazoa; Chordata; Actinopteri; Salmoniformes; Salmonidae
Exons: 3
Source: RefSeq, a predicted model, not a curated record
AUUUUUUUGUUAUGAACUUUGAGCCUGUUCGUGACAAGUGGGGGCUCGUCCGGGAUCAUAAGGUUGAUGUUGAGUGGAGAAGCCUGAAGCAAGAGCCAAGAGAGGACAACUUAGAUGGUAGCAGAUGUAUGCAGAUGCUGGGGAGAACUACAAGGCUACUUUGGACUAUUGCCAAAGUGCAGUGAGCUUUCCAGUGCCCCAAUGGCUGCCAGCAAUCACCCAGGAGGUUGGUGUAACCUUAAUUGGGGAGGACGUGCACGUGGUAAUGGCUGGAGCGGACUGGGUGGAACUGUAUCAACAACAUCAAACACAUGGUUUCCAUAUGUUUGAUGCGAUUCCAUUUACACCGUUCCAGCCUUCCUCCCCUUGGCAGUCUCCCCUUGGCAGUCUCCCCUUGGCUGAUCCUGUCCCUGACCAAAACUCCAGAGGUUUUCAACUGGGUGUGAUUGACCGUGACGCUCCCUCGAUCCUCACAAAGACAAUCACACGAUUUCCCAUGAUUUAAAUAUUUGUCUAUUUAAAUUAUUAGCUUAUUUAUUUAGAUUGACUGCACACUGCAAUUCAGCUCUUAGCUGCCAAUUUGUACACCUUAACAAACAAUAAAAGAA